UGGCGGACGGGGGAGUAAUGUCUGGGAAACGUGCCUGAUGGAGGGGGAUAACUACUGGAACGGUAGCUAAUACCGCAUAACGUCGCAAGACCAAAGAGGGGACCUUCGGGCCUCUUGCCAUCGGAUGUGCCCAGAUGGGAUUAGCUAGUAGGUGGGGUAACGGCUCACCUAGGCGACGAUCCCUAGCUGGUCUGAGAGGAUGACCAGCCACACUGGAACUGAGACACGGUCCAG
Molecule: ribosomal RNA, 234 nt
Filed under: uncultured bacterium
Lineage: Bacteria
Description: partial 16S ribosomal RNA
Rfam family: Bacterial small subunit ribosomal RNA
Source: RNAcentral